ACGGAGGGUGCGAGCGUUAAUCGGAAUCACUGGGCGUAAAGCGCACGUAGGCGGAGUCGUAAGUCGGAUGUGAAAUCCCUCGGCUUAACCGGGGAACUGCAUUCGAUACUGCUAUUCUUGAGUGCGGGAGAGGGUGACGGAAUUUCUGGUGUAGGGGUGAAAUCCGUAGAUAUCAGGAGGAACACCGGUGGCGAAGGCGGCCUACUGGCCCGAAACUGACGCUGAGGUGCGAAAGCGUGGGGAUCAAACAG
Molecule: ribosomal RNA, 251 nt
Filed under: uncultured prokaryote
Description: partial 16S rRNA
Rfam family: Bacterial small subunit ribosomal RNA
Source: RNAcentral